UACGGAGGGUGCAAACGUUGCUCGGAAUCAUUGGGCGUAAAGCGCACGUAGGCGGCCUGUUAAGUCGGGUGUGAAAGCCCUGGGCUCAACCCAGGAAGUGCACUCGAAACUGGCGGGCUUGAAUAUGGAAGAGGGUCGCGGAAUUCCCGGUGUAGAGGUGAAAUUCGUAGAUAUCGGGAGGAACACCAGUGGCGAAGGCGGCGACCUGGGCCAAUAUUGACGCUGAGGCACGAAAGCGUGGGGAGCAAACAGG
This 253-nucleotide ribosomal RNA is filed under the name uncultured bacterium. RNAcentral describes it as "partial 16S ribosomal RNA". It matches the Rfam family "Bacterial small subunit ribosomal RNA", at positions 524 to 776 of the family's 1533-position model. The record is from RNAcentral.